This 16504-nucleotide long non-coding RNA is filed under the name Citrus maxima (pomelo). RNAcentral describes it as "long non-coding RNA (CMAX_LNC000201)". The record is from RNAcentral. Lineage: Eukaryota; Viridiplantae; Streptophyta; Magnoliopsida; Sapindales; Rutaceae.
UGAGUUUGAAGAUGUAGACAAAUGAGUUCCUCUUCAUCAGCAAAAGUUCUCUUGAGAUGUUAGCUUUCAACAACUCUCUCUUGCCAACACCAUAUGUUUCUGUGGUCAAAGCAGCUCGAUGGCUCUUGCUCUUAUCAAAUGGAGUCCGAAGCUCAUCAGAAAUUUUCUGUCCCACAUGGAAUGAUUGGAAUGCCUCAGCAAAUUCCUGGACUGUAACAAACCUGUAAGGCUUCUCUUUAUGUGCCCAAUACUGCCUUUGAUCUUUCCUUGAUGUUACCUGGAACACAUUAUUUGUAAAGAUUGAAUAGAAAUAGUAAUGUGUGAGGCUCGUUAUAGUUUUAGAAUGUUAUAAGCUUCUGUAUUAUCUAUAAAUAUUUAGAAACUGAAACAUCAAAUAUAGAGCUCUAUCACCGCAUACUUCUUGCAAGAAGUCAGCCACGCCUUUCCUUUUGGGGCAUCUAAAGCCCAUGGAUGCAAAAAACUCUAGUACCAGUUCGCGAGGACCCUGGUAUACAAUCUGGCCAUCGGAUAGAAGGAUAAUGUCAUCAAAUAGAUCAUAAGUUUCUGGUGCUGGCUGUAGGAGAGAUAUCACAGCAGUUCCACUAUUGAUGUGAAUAUUUUGCCUGAGACAAUUAACAAUUUGGAAAGUUGUCGAGCUGUCCAAACCAGUAGAAAUCUCAUCCAUAAAUAGUGCCAAUGCUGGUCCAACCAUCAUUUCACCUAUAAUUUAAUUUACGAUUUAUCAUAUGUUUGAAUGAAAAGAGAUAACUGUUUUGUAUCUGACCACAAUCAAAAUGAAUUUAUGGAGUUUGGUAUUUACCAGUCGUAACACGCUUCUUCUGUCCUCCUGAUAUACCUCUUAUCAUUUCAUCACCUACCAUGGUGUCUGCACAGACAUCCAGUCCCAGAACCUAUAUGUUCAUAAGGAGAAGCAUUCAAACACGUGACAUUAUUUACUUGUUCUUGAUCAUAAUUCGCAAUUUUAGAGUGAUUCAUAAAUAUGUUACCUUAAGAUAAUAAUCAGUGAUCACAUUGGCUUCUUGGCCUUCAGUUGCUAUAGCCUGAGACGAGAAUUGACAGAGAAAUACAAGAAACUCAAUCACCAAGAGUUCAAAUCAAUCUCCAUAAGGUUGUUUCCGAUCUAAAUCUAUUUUCUCGUGAGGUGAAAGGUAAAAUGCCAAGCUUAAAAUAUAUGUAAUUCAACAAAAUGAUAUAAAGAAUUGAAUCUCAAAGUUCAUGUACUAGGAUUUUGAGACAUAGGAGCACUUGAGUGAAGCCAGGCUUAAAACUGAAACUCAUAAUUCAUCAGAUUUUACAUCCAAUGAUUUUUUUUUUUUCUCUUUUCUGGAAUCAAAUUGGCUAAAUGCUAAACAUGUUUUAAAGUUUAAACAAACUUCAGCUUCUCUCACCUUCAUGUAGACAUCAAUAUCCGGAUCAGGCUUAAUACCUGCUGCCUUCUCUCUUCUUGCCAACUCAGUUAACAUUUCUGCACUUCCCAAAAGGCAGAACCUUUAAUCUGAGUUCUUUACUUGAAGGAAGAAAUUAAAAAAAAAAAAAAAUAUAUAUAUAUAUAUAUAUAUAUACACCUACCAUAACGGGUUCCAACCCCCUGGCAUCUAGCAGAGAAGGCCAAAGUUUCUCUCACAGUCAUUUCACCUAUAUGAUUAUCGUGUUGACUGAUAUAAGCAGCUGUUCUCUGAGGCACAAAUUCAUCCGUAUCGUGACCGUUGUAUGUUACCCUACCAGAAACCUACAGAGGGAUGUUUUGAUUCUCAAAUUAGGGAGAAAAUCAAAGAUCGAAAAGCAAAGGUAAAAGCCAAACCCCUCCUAAAUAAUUAGAGCUUUUAACUAUAUAAUCACCUUCAGAGUAGGAUCAAGCUUCCCGGCCAAAGCCAACAAUAGUGUGGUCUUUCCAGAACUUGGGGGACCCAGAAGCAAUGUCAAUCUGCGAGAAAAGAGAUGGGCUCAAUUUGUGAUCACUACCAACAUAUUCAUAGAAAAACAAGUAAAUUAAGAAACAAUAGGUAUUUAAUUUUCACCUUCCCGGCUUUAUGACUCCACUGACAUCCUUCAGGAUUGUCAAGUGUCUCUUUUUACUUGGAAUAAUGCGGAGAUAGUUCAAGAGACCCUGCAAACAAAUACAGAUUAUUUGAAUUUGAGCCGAGAAAUUAACAAAAGAUGAUUAAAAAAAUAAUAAUUUUUGCAUUUGAAGAUUGGUACCUCAAAGAUGUUGGUAUAGAAUUUAAUGAACGAUGGCAAGGCAUUACUUGCUAAAAAUGCUUCUGCUUCAACAUUCAAAUGUUCAUAUCGUACUUCGACUUUUGGAAGGUCUAUUCCAACUCUGCCAAAAAUCAAAGAAAAAAAUCAGAAUCAUGACCAAAAUACAACACGCUCUUGAAAAAAAAAAAAUGGUGGACACAACAUACACAUGAAAAAAAAGAACUCUGACAAACACACACACACUCUCUCGAAAAAGGUCUGCUCUGACACCGAGUUUUUAUCCAAAAGAUUAGUCCAUAAAACUGUAGAUUGCUCCUUUACAAUCCAAUAUGAGAGAAAUCAAUUCAAACUUAAUAUUUGUUUAAAACAAAGGCAAUUCAAGAUUAGCUUACGGAUUAUGUAACUUUUCUAUUUGUUUAAGGUGGAAACAGAACAUUACUGACAGCAUGAAAUAGUUAUAUGAAUAUCAGUUACAGCUGCUGAAGAACUGAAAGUUUUUUACCUAUCAAUACGGUUCUUGAGCUUCAACAAGAACCUCUCGUUAUCAACAUCAGUAACUUUAACCAAUUUAUCAAUCAACCUCUGCCUUUCUUGCAGCCCAAGGUUGUAAACAUCAACUUCAUUAGCUUCACCUCGUGAGGUAGUUAAUAUCCCCUUCCUCAAACGGUUAUAGGUAGGCAAUUUCUCGAGAGCAGCCCAUUUUAGAGCCUCCUCAUCGUCUUCUUCCCUUGAAGACCUCGAAAAUGCACCGAUGGAAUUUGUGUUCCAUCUAGAAGCGCUCCGACGCAAGCUAGUACUAGCCAUGAAAAUAUCGUGGGUGCCCUCCAUGGCAACUCAAGAUGCUCAGAGCUGCUGAAACCAACCAAAACCGAGGAGUGCUUUUUUCUCUCUAUUGUUGAACUCAACAAAGAGAAGUUCAAGCACAGAGAAAUGGGUACUAAUUAAUUUGACAGAGCAAUUGCUCCUACUAUGACUUGAUCCAUUAGUGACCCACGUAACCAUUUAUUUAUAUCUUGCAUACAACAGCAUAAAUUGACUGGUAUAUGGCACCGGCGGCUCAAAUAAUCAUUUCCCUUAUCUACCCUCCGUGAACAAGUCGUCGUAGCAAUAUAAAUAAAGACUUCUUUUCUACUAUAAAUAUCAAUAUUCCAGGGGUAGGCUCCGGAUCUUUCAUUAGGCCGAGCUAAAUUUUAAAUUUAGUGUAUAAGUUUAUGUAAAUUGUUGGUGCAUGUCAAGGAAUAAAACAAAAAAAAAUGUAUUAAAUAAUAAAUAUCUAACUCUAAUUUCAAUGAUAAAUUACUCUUUUCAUAUUGAGUUUCAUACGUUCUCUUGUUUAGGAAGAUAUUUGAAAACUUUAUUCUUAACUAAAAGAAAAAAAAUUCAUGAAAUUUAAUUUUCUUAAGCUAACGGGCUCCAGCCACCUAAUGGGUCUAUGUUCAUUGCUAUCUGAUGCCGGGCAGUUGAGGAAAGUGAUGGAUUCUUGACCGUAGACUUUUGGGAGCAGAAUAAAGAGUUUUAAAAAAAAAUUUCUUUAGAAAUUUCCGAGCAGCUGGUACCCAGUCACAUUGUUUACCUAUUUAACUUGUUAUGAAUUGACGGGGAAACGGGCGACUGAUUUUAUUAAUUGGUGUGAAAAAAUUUCCUUGCCAUGCUGCAAGAAAAGUAAUCAAGACUUGAUACAACAUCACAAGGUUACUCAACAGACUUUGACUAAUGACUAGGACUGGUUCAAUUCUAGAAUGGGGAUAGAAUUGGAAUACGAAACUCGUGCCUUGACUAACUAUUGUUACAUUGAUAAAUGCACCGUUUAAAUACGAAACGAUAAGAUUUAAUAAAUAACAACCACACAUAAUCUUGUUAUGAUAGAAUUAGUUUAUGAUAAAUUUUUUAUUAUUGAUAACAACGUUAUCGAUGAGUAGAUGAAAUGUAUAAUUGAUGCACAUCAUACCCUUUUUUUUUUUUUUCUCUAACACAAGAGAUUUUAUUAUCUCAAAUAGAUGAAAUGUACAAAAUAUGAAAAUUAAUUUAAUUUUAUAUUAUAUAUAAUUAAUGUUUUAUUAUUUUAUUGUAAUAUAAUAUUUAUUUAGCAUACUAUCAAUUAUUUGAUUAUGUAGAAAAAAUUUACUAAUUUACUAAUAAUAAUAAAGUGUUAGUUUAUCAAUUCAUAAAAUCAUUUUUGCUCAUUUGAACAAGAAUUUUGUAUUUUUGGUUGAGUUUUUGUCCUUAAAUAAAAAGAAUAAAUUUAAUUGCACACUUAAAUAAACUGACUUUUGUUAUUUCACCCCAAUAUUUUAAAUAGCCAUUAGCACACAUUCCUAAUUGACAAGGAUAUGACCAAUUAAAUAAUAAUUGUAUCAAAUUUACCACUCAUAUAUAUAUAUAUAUAUAUAUCUGAAUGGCUAAGUGUUGGAAAAUAGGACCAUGGGCAUGAGCCCAUGACUAAUUUUUUUAUUUUUUUAGUUUUUAGUUUGGUAGUGAAAUGGAUUUCUUAUUCUGGCAAAUUAUGCAUUCUCUUCUCUACAUAUAUUACAAUAAAAAAAAAAAACUUAUAUUGUCCAAAUUGACAAGUGUGCGAUGUCGGAGUAUUGUGUUCAUGUUUGGCAUCUUCAAAUCGAAAGGUGUUUCUAAAAUAGAUUAUGACUUCUAGAAGUAUCACAUAACCUGAAAAUUUUUAGGUGUAGGACUAAUGUGUGAAAAAAUAAAAGUCUUUAGUUUUUUUUAAUUUUUUAACAAAUAAAUGGAUUUCACUGUAAUUGACUUAGAAAAAGACAAAAAAGUGGGGUACGAAACCCGUGUGGCAACGUAGUUUUGGCCUUUUAGAAUAAGUAACACUAAUGUCACGUACUUGGACAUUACCCACAAGACAACUGACUGAGACAAAUGGCUGGACACAAACAACAAUCAACGCUUGACGUGGAGAAAGUCAAAGCACGCCAAUUUUGAAAUGAAGAUUACUUUAACCCUUCAAUUUAAUUUUCCAAUUAAGACCCCUCAAACAUGGGAGGUGGGGACCACAAUCACCGGAUCCGGAUCCGGAUCGUAUAGCGAAUUAGUGACGUACUCUGUUACUGCCAUUUCCCCGCAUUAAUUACUUUUAAAAAAAAAUAAAAAUAAAACGAAAAAUUUAAUUAUUAAAUUAAUUGUAGAGGCAACCAAGAAUUUAAUUAUUUAAUUAUUAAAAAGGCAUUUUCAAGACUGUUUUCAAGUAAAAAGAUCCAAUACUAAAUUAAUUAGCUCAUGCCUUUCCUGAUUUUCGUUGGUCGACAUUAUAAAAUUAUAAAAAAAUAAAAAAAUUAUUUAACGUUAAACAUAAGUUAAAAGGACAUAAUCUUAGACAAAAAUUCGUGUUAAUAUAUUUAAAUUAAAAAAAACACACACACACAUACACACAAAAUCUUAGACAAAAGAGAUGGGAAUUAUAAUAUACCAAGAGCAGAAGCAUUCAUUUUCCGUCUCAGUGAACGUGAGCUUCUCUUCACCGUCAGCAAGUCCGUAUGGUCAUUCCCUCCAUCACGACCGUCCAUCUUGCUCAAUUAUUAAAAAAAAAAUGAACUAAAAAAUGCAUCAAAUCUUUUGUGAAGCUUCUUCAUUUUAAUUAAUUAAUUAAUUAAGGGAAAAAAAUCUCGUCGUCCCGGCACAGCAUAAGGCUGAGCUUCUCCGCCGCCGCCGUAUUGAGAAAAAUAGCGGAUAAUUUUGAUUUAAAAGGCUUCUUGUUAGUCAUCACAUUACCCAAUUCCCUCACUAUCCUUCGUUAUUCUGAUGGAUUUUUGUGUUUCGGAAGUGAAUUUCAGUUCUAAUUUUUUUUUUCCAUUUAUUUUUAAGUUUUGGAAGCAUUACAUAAACUUUUUUUUUAAAUAUUUUACUUAAACGAAAAAAGAAAAAAAAAAAGAUCGGUUCGGUGGACAAAGCCUCUUACUCCUGAUUCAAACGCAAGACCAAUUAAACCACUCGGCUCAGCCCGAGUGGCCAGGGCUGCUGCCCUCUAACUUGGAGGGCAGCAGUUCGAACCCCCACAAAAGUAUUGUGGGGGUAUUUCCUUUCUCAAUUAAUUUAAGUGAAGGUAAUCUUCUUCCUUACCCAUGAGUGAGGAGUAGACAUCCCUCAAAUAUUUGUGAGGGUUAAAAUAUGGGCAGAGCUCCAUUAGCAUUGAUGUAAGUUGGUCCCAGUAAUUGUCUGAUUUGUAAAUAUCAGUUAUAGUCUCAUGUAAUAUGAGUUGUAAUCUGAGCAAUAGUCUCAUGUAAUAAAAAAUAAAAAUAAACGCAAGACCAAUUAAAUUAAACUCCUUCGAAAGCUACUCGGAUGACCGGCCAAAUUAAAACUCUUGAAAGUUUCGAUAAAAUAUUAAUUUUAAUAGUUAAAAUUCUUUUUGAUGGGGAAAUAAUAUAUUAUAAUUUAAUACAUUAUUAUUUUAAAAUGUUGAUUUAUAAAAAUAAAAAGAUUUACCAUACCCUAAUGUCUCGGAAAAUAGUCAAGCAAACUAACACAUUUUUUAGUGAAGAAGAAUAUUUGGACCAUUUUUUUAUUGUAGUACCAUUUAAAUAGAGCAGCUAAAAUAGUUAGCUUUAAAAUUUUUUAAUAAAUAUAAAUAUAAUAUAAAUAAUUAAAUAUGAUUAGUAGACUAAUAAUAUUAAAAUAAUUUAAAAACAUAAAUAUUAUUAAAAAUGUAUAAUUUAUUAAGAUAAUAAUUUUGAUAGAUAAAAUAAUUUAAAAACAUAAAUAUUAUUUGUAUUUUAAAAUAUUUUUUUAUUUAUUAAAAUGUUUAAAACAAAUCUUUCGGUCAAAUAGAUUUCACAAUUAAUUCAAUAUAUGUUAAUAGUAUUGAAAUUAUUUUACAUGCUAUUCAAAAUAAUUAAAAUUUUUAUAUAUUUUUAAUAUUAUGUUUCUAUUUAUUUAAAAUUAAGUUUAAUACAAUAAAAUAUGUCUAAUAGGUGUAUUUUUUAAAAUGUAUAUAUUACUAUAUUUAUUUUAACAUUAUAUUUUUAUCUAUUACAAAAUAUUAGAGUUAAUUUUAUUCGAGUUUAUAAAACCAAAAGGUAUUUUAGUUAAAUAGAGGCCUUAAUAUUCCUUCUUAAAAAUUUAAGAUGUGUAUAAUUAUUUUUUCAAGGAUAUAAUUAUCAUUUGAACAUUUAUAAAUAGAAAAUGAGGAUAUCGCAAGUUGUAGCACCCAUUUGAUCGUUCAACGGAGGCGCAUGGUCAAUCAAAAGAAUGAAAAAUGCCAAUUCUAAAGUCAAGUGUUUUUAUUUUCUUUAUCUUCAAGUUUAAAGUCAACAUCAAAGAAAAAGGUAAAAAUGUUAAGACAAAUUUGAUGUCUCUUCGCUAUGAAGAAAAUUUUGACAGUGAAGCCAGAUAGAAAAAUAAUUAGAAUAACGUUUGAAUAUUGCACAAGAAAAUUUCAUGGGUUAGAAAGGAAACAAAAAGUAGGAGAAUGAAAAUGUGAUCAUGGUUAAUUUGAAAAUUAUGAGAGCUUUGUAAAAUGAGAUUUUAAUUUUUAAAUUUUGUUAAUGUGUCCAUAGAAUAAAUGGAUUAAAUCAAUUAUUUUUUUAUGUAGUUUAAAUAGUUUGACUUUUAAGAUUAUGAUUGAGAGAGUCGCGGAUAAUGUAAGAGCAUUUACAUUAUUUUCAUUUACCUUUUACCAAGUGUGUACGAAUACUAUCAUGAUUAAUUAAAAAACAUGUAUGAUAAAAAAGUUAAUAAAAAUAUGACAAUUUUAAAAGCAUGUGCAUUUUGCUAAAAUAAACCAAUACUUGUAUUACAUAUGUGUAUAUAUUUGAACACUAAAAUUUUAUCCACCCUCAUUUUGCACACCCCUUUAUGUUUUGAAUCAAACUUCUCAUGAUUACCUCACCCAAUUAAAAUUAUAUACAUAUAGGACAGUGAUCCAAUCUGGGAUCCGGGAAUCUAGCAGGGCCGUUCAAUCCAACGGCCGCUGGUGGCUUUUUUUUUUUCAAUUUGUGGGCUGCACAUGGUGGACCCCACCAUGUGCAGACACCAGUGGCCUUUGGAUUCCACCAUGUGCAGCUACUAGUGGCCUUUGGAUUGAAAUCCAAAAGCCACUAAUUUUUGUCCCGGAAACUGUUCCAAUCCGGGACUCCCGGAUUGGAACAGUUACCUAUAUAUAAUAAAACUAAAAUUUGGAAACUUGGAAAAAUCAAAAUGCAUGCAGUGACUAAUGAAUAAGGUUCAACUUACACAUUAAAUAAAUUAAGAGCAACGCCAAACAACUUGCACAACACGAUGACAGUAGGUCCCUGAAUUGAUAGAAACAGCAGCAAAACGAUGUUCUUUUCUUGUUCUUUCUCUCUAUUUUUUUAAUUCGGUAAGCCCCCUGUCCCCAUCUGUAUAAUGUUUAAUAUUUUCAAAAAUAAAAAAUCCAAUUUGAAAAAAAAUUCAAGAAAAUCUUAAAUUGUGUGUCUGGUAAACAACCGCAAAUAUAAAAUUCACGUUCAACAUUAGUAGGAAGGGAAGGGGAAAUAUAUAUAUAUAUAUAUAUUAGAUCCGCUCAAAAUGUCGAUGAUUUUAUUUUCUUUAUUUUCAUGUUUAAAGUCAAAAGAAAAGAAUGAGAAAAUGGAGGAGAAGAAAUUUGAUAUCUUAUUACUAUAUAAGCAUUUAUUUUUUAAUUCGUUUGAAAUAACUUUUCAAGUAAAAUUUAUUUUAAUAGAGCUUUUACAAAUAGGGUUGGACAAUUUCGGAUUCGGAUAAGAUAUUCAAUCAGAUUUCGGAUAAUUUAGAUUGAGAAAAAAUUUAUUCGAUCUCAAUCGAAACCUUAUAUUUAAUUCAGUUCGAUCCGAAUUAGCUCAAAUCAAAUUCGAAUGAGAUGAAUAUUUCGAAUAAGUUCAAAUUUAGAUCGGUUUGGAUUGAAAUUAGAUUUGGGACCUUUUAGACAAUUCUCACAAAAAAAUCAUGAAAUCUACAAUAGUAUAGGCGGUGACAUCAAUCAUUGUCAGUCUCUUCUUUUGGUUAUUGAUAAUCUCAUUGGAAGAGAGCUGGGCUGGAUUUUCCCAUUGUGUCUUGACUAUCUUCGACAUAGUGGGUCUGGGGGACGCCAUGGUGGCUGGACGUCGAUCCAGAUGUAGCGGGGUUCAUUUGGUUUAUACUGUUGGUGGCGUGGGUCGCUGUGUGCGUCACGUCAUGAGUGUGGUUUGUGGUCAUGGGUUGCGGCUACCUUGUAUCUUGGUGAUUUUGGAAUUAGGUUUUCAUUUUCUUAGUUUCUGCUUUUAUAUUUUGUUUUUUUUUCUUUUUUAAGUAGCAGUGCAAUCCAAUUUGGAUUAUUCGAAUUGACUCGAAUUCGAUCUAAUCCACAUCUAAUCCAAUUACAUACACAAAUUAUAUCCGAUCGUAUUUGAAACCAAAUAUGAAUCUGGUAUGAAUUUGUAUAGAUUAGAUUGGAUCUGUCCAAAUCCAAUCUGAUGUCCAACCUUGUUUAUAAAUAGAGAUUUUAAAAAAAUUAGUUAUAUUGAUUAUCAAUGGAAUUUUUUAUUAAAAAUUAUAAAAUUAUUUUGAAAGUAAGUUUCUUAUAGUUAUGUUAUGAAAAAAAAAUGAAAUAAAAUUGUGAGACAAGAAAAGGAUAUUUUAGACAAUUAAAAAAAAAAUCCAAUCUUUACUCUUAAAAUUGCAAAAUUUGAGCUUUUACUAAUAUAAGAUAAAAUAGUUUAUUUAACCUCCAAAAGCUAUACUCAAAAUACAAGCAAGCAACAUUAAAAAUUAACAAAAAGAAAACUUAUGGGAUUGACUAUUUGAAAGCUAUACCAACCAUGCACUUACUCCCAUCUAUAUAUCUAUAUAAAGUUGGGACUUGAGGAGGUGAUGUGGCAUCAUCAUUUCUCUUAUUUGUAUAUUCUCUAUUAUCUAAUAAAUAGAGAAUGUUUCUUUUAGAUUUGACUUUUUAUCUUCUCAUAAUUAAUUUGAUUGUUAUUAUACAAUAACAAUUAUGUAAAGAUUUUAAUGAGGCAUAUUCUUUGUAAUGAAUAUCAAAGGGGGAGUGUUAUGAAUUUAUUAAAAUAAAUGUAAAUGUUCAUAACAUAUAUCCCUUAGUCUCCCCACUAUCUCCCAUUAGCAACCUUUAACUUUCCUAUAACUCCCACUAUCUCACAAGAAAUUAUGAUCCAUAAUUUUUCAUUAAUUUCAUGGAGUGAUUAUGUAACUAUAAAAGGAGAGCUCAUCUUUUUGUUUUGUACACACACAAUUUGAAUGAAUAAAAUCACUCUAUAAUAUAUUCUCUCAUUUUAUUCUUUAUCUUGCGUUGCUCCUUUAUUUGUAUUGCUAACUAAUAGCUUUUUUUUUUAUUUUUUAUAAGGCUGCCUCAUCUUAAAAAAAAAAUCAAUUCUUAUUUUUUAUCAAUUUCAUCAAGUGUAAAGUAAGAAAAAAUGAUAAUACUAAAUUCUUUUUUCAAAGCCGCGUGAAACGCGGGUCUAUUUUCUAGUAAUUAUAAGAAAACUCAAACCCUCCAUCUUAUGGAUGAUACAAAUGCUUUCUAUAAUAAAAUAUACAUGUUUUCUUCAUUAACGGUACGUAUAGAUCUUUUAGAGAGUAAAUUUUAGUUUAUCCCAUUCCCUUCAAAUUAAAUCUUAACCUAUGGAAACUAUCAAUUCAAGUCUAAACUUAUUGAAAAUAUCAACGCUCCUAUUUAAAAGACUAGGAUAAAGAGGGGCGUCUUAAAGAUCUAUUUUUAUUUUAUUUUAUUUUUUGGUAUUCUUAAUAAUAAAUGGGAUUGUGUUAACAUUUCGGUAAAUUGAAAGUAAGUUAAUUUAUUUGGCUGCUGAUUUGAAAAUUCCCCAUCUUUUAAAUUCAUAAGGUGCUUUUGCAGACAACUAGGUUAAGUCUCACAUUUUAAAUGAAGGUGUGUUACAAAGUUGAACUUUCUGUGCCUUCACCUACCUUGCGUUUGGAAAUUCUCAUCCCAUUUUGUGUUAUUUGAAUUUUUCCUAACACAAAAAUUCAUCACCCUAAUCAUUGAACCACAGCCUUUUCUCACAACAAAGUUGAAGGAGAGGGAGAGAGAAACAAAAUGCAGAAACAGUUCUGCGCUUAAAUGUCAAACCGUUUUGUUUCACUUAUUUUGUUUUUUAAUCAAAGAGAUGAAUAAUUCAAAUACAGUAGGAAAAAAAAAAACUUUGUUUUUUUAAUCAAAGAAAUGAAUAGCUGAGAUAAUUCAGACACAGUUGGAUCAAAAAGCAAUAUUGUGAUUUUCCAAACUACAAAGUCCCAACUUCUUGCAGUAAAUUGGGGCUAAAGCCUAAAAGUAGUGACCUUUUGGUAUGCUUUAAUGACCCCAACACAUUUGCUUUGAAUGUUAUUAUUAUAUUCAUUUCUCCCCUUUUCCGCAUUUGUCUUUAUUUCAAAUAUUCAAUUAUGCAUAUUCUAGAAGUAUGAUAUAGCUAGCACCUAAAAAUUAACCACAAAAAGGAAGACAAAAAGAGAGAUAUGAUAAGAUGCAGAAAAGAAAAGCAUAAGCUGUGUCCCAUAUCAAAACUUAAACAAGUUCCAUCUUGUAUCUCAUGCAACAUGACUCAACUUUCAUAUGGAUUCACACUUGGGGGGACAUUAACAGUAUUAUUUCUUGCAUUGAAAUCAAAACCACUAUAAUAACAGCAAGAAAAAUGUCUUGGCAUAGGUGUGAGAAAAUAUACACAAGCUAUUUAGAGGGGAGAGAGAAAAACUAACUGGGGUUAGAAUUAAUUUUAUUACUUAUUUAUUGUAGCUCGAUACAAUCUUAGUUCUAAUUUAGUUAGUACCCUUAAUUAUAACUGCAAUAAGAAAAUCUAAUCUUAAUAGGAAAGAGAUUAAAAUAAACUACAAGAGUCCUCAUAUUAUUCCCCACUCCUUAAAACAGGCUUGCCCGCAAGCCUUUUACCAAGUCCUAAAUCACAAACUUGAUCUUCAAGAUGCUAUUAAAUUUCUAUCGCCUCUGGAAAUUAAGCUGCUUGAUUCCUAGGGCGAAGACAAAACCAAAGAGGGCUACAAAGCACGUAAGAACACCCGCAACUACUCCCAGCAAAUCAUGUUUGAAACCAAAAUAAUCUCUAAGAAAGUGCUUCACUGUUUCACCAUUUUCCAUUUGGUCCUCCACAUCCCCAAACUGUGAAGCAAUCAAUCCAUACAGGGUCCAAGCUAUAGGGUUUGCCCAAUAGUACCAUCUCCACCAUACAGGAAUCCUCUGCGGUUUGAAAAAGGUGAAAGAUGAGGAAAGAAUCGGUAACAGAAAUUCUGUAACUAGAGAAUCUAGCAUAUGAAAUAGAAAUAGAAAUAGCAGAAUAGUACUUACAGGUCUUGGGAUUACAAAUCCGCAAAAGAGGUACCAUAUCCCGUAAAAUAAAGUCGAAACAAUGGCAGCAAUGUGGUGGUUUGGUGUUAUAGCCACUGUCAACAUGCCAUAGAAGGUGAAGAGCAAUAAUGUGAUGUACAUGAAGAAAAAAUACCAAGAGAACUUCUCGGCUGUCCAGUCAUAUCCCAUCAUAGCAUAGACUAUAACACAGUACACUACUGACUGAACAAAUAUAUAAGGAAUCUCAAUCAUGGCCUGCCGAAAAGAAAAAUCUAAAUAUCAGUAAUGAAACACAUUUCUUAUAACAUUUCAGAUAGGCAUGUGUCAAACGAUUACUUGUGCUAAUGCCCACGGAAGGCCCGCGUACAUGCCAGCGGCUUUUUCUCUGUAAAAGACUGUCCUUUCAACAGAUACUACUGGCUGCACGGAUGAACAAUAUUGAAGGCCGAGGAAGAUAAUUGCAGUAAACAUGGAACCCAUUGCAUUAAACAGAUCUUGGCUCUUUCUCCUAUAAAUUAAAAAGUGAAAAUUAAUAUUAAAAGGCAGAUGAGAAAACAAGACUAAGAAUAAUAUUUAAAUUUAUAAUGUUCCAGUUUCCAAGGCUGUAACUAACGUUUUAGAGCCCAUGUCCCAAAACAAUGACCCAAGCAACACUGCUAUAAAGGCUGUAAAAAAGAAUCUAACAGCAGUGUAUUGUGGAUUUCGCCAGUAUGACCAGUGUUGUUUCCAUAAGCAAGCCACGAAUUGAGUGAAAGCUGACUGCGAGUACUGGGUAGGAAAAUAGAGGUCCUUUGAACCUGGAGUAGGCUUGCUUAAUUCUUCAAUAAGUGCUUUGUUUCUCCUGAGAUACAUUGCCAAUUCAAAAUUUUGAACUAAACAAAUGCAUUGGCAGAGAGGUGAAUGGAUUGCAGUUAGUAGUGUUAGUACUUCAUGAAUGUACCUGUAUAAUUCUGAGCAUCUGAAAAUAUCAUUAAAAUCAACUCCCAAAGCUACCUCUUGGGAUGAAGCAGUUACUUCCAACAUCCAAGUGGCCGGAUUGUAACCAUCUUUAAUUUUCUCAACUCCAGGAAUAGCCUUAUAAAAACGAAUAAACAUGCAUCAGAUAGUUUCAAGAUGAAAAUUAUGCAAGUCACUUCAAAAUGAUACUCAAGUUGGAUUUCCAUUGUAAUAUGAUAACGUGCAUCGGCACAUACUUCAAAAUAGCUGAUAAGUUGGCAAGAAUGGCGACCCAAUGGCCCAACAUAAAUUUCUUGUCCCCCUCGCUUCAUUAGGAAUAACUGCAAUGCAUUGUUGAACAAUUGUAAUCCAUAGAAAAAAAGGGGAGAAAAAAAAAGGAACUUUACGUUACCUUGAUCAAGAAUUAACAUUUUUUACCUCAUCAAAAGCAUCAAAUAUGUCAAUGCCUGGUUGAUGAAUGGUGCACACUACUGUCCUUCCAGUGUCCACUGUAUUUCUAACAGUUCUCAUAACAAUUGCAGCCGCCCUUGCAUCUAGCCCUGAGGUUGGCUCAUCCAUAAAUAUGAUGGACGGGUUAGCCACUAGCUCAACCGCAAUGGUAAGCCUCUUACGCUGCUCUGUUGACAGACCACUUACACCAGGCAAACCAACCAAUGAUUGUAUCAGUGGUUUCAGCUCCACAAGCUCCAUGACUUCCUCAAUAAACAUCUGUAAAUCAAGGGGAAAACUCUAAAUCAGUAUGAAUUAUGUCCAAUAAUGUAUUUAGGGAUCUAACUCUUUCCCUGCCCAUUGACUCAGGUUAACUAGUUUUAGCCCUCAAUGACCUAACACUCUAUGUGACUUUAGUACCUACCUUUCUGGUUUCAGAAUCAACUUCAGGUGGUAAACGGAGCCAGGCUGAGUAGAGCAAGGACUCAUAUACAGUAACAAAAGGAGAAUGGAUGUCAUUUUGCUCACAGUAUCCUGAAAUGCGAGCAAAAGUUUCUUGCUUCUUCGGGUAACCAGAUAUUGUUAUGUUCCCAGUAAUAUAUCCACCCGUUUUCCUGCCGGACAACACAUCCAUCAAAGUAGUUUUACCAGCACCACUGACUCCCAUUAAAGCUGUUAGAACACCUGGCCGAAAAGCACCGCCCAAACCAUUCAGAAGCACUAAUUUGUCUUCAAGAACACCUUGAAGUUUCAUUUCCUACAAUGUAAAAUCGAACCAAUUGGUCAUCAUGCCUGGACUACAUUGAAAUGGAUCAAGAUAUCAUCGAGCUUUCUAAAUAUUGCCUAAUUAGUUUAAAAUUAAUAUUACCUGUGGCAUGUCAACGGAGUAUACAACCUCAUCAAAGGUAAGGGAAUGAGGUUCAAAAGGAAGAAUCAUUCCUCUUUUCUUUGGAUGACUGCCCUGUGCUUCUGUCAGGAUUAAGGACUUAGAAGAGGAGUUUCUCCCGCUAAUGUCUUCUCCACUCUCUGCACGCUUAAAACAAUUUAUUAGCAUAAGAUGGCAUUUAAAAAAUAUCUCAUUCUUUCUCAAAGGAAAUAGUUUAAUAACUGAAACAAAACUACCUCCACGGGUGGACAACUGAACAGUUCCUCUAAUUCUGUUAUCUUGCUUAUUACUUUCAGAUUCCUCUGUUAUAACAGCUCGAGGCUUCUCUAAUUCUGUAAAUAUUUUUUUGCACAAAAUUAGAACAUAAACUCACUGCUUUUGAAGUAUUAAGUGAAGAGGUAAAGAUGCAUACGGUUAAGAAAAGUAAUAGCCAUAGUGAAACCGAGGUUGAACAGUAGUAUAAAACCAAACAAUGCCCCCAAUCCAAGCCAAUACCAGUAUGCAUGAGCAAAGAACCCGCGACUCUUCAAAACUUGGACUCCAAUUGAUUCAUAUGAGUUUGGAGUAAACUAUUACAUGAAAAAAUUAGACAUCAGUAUGUUACUAAUAGACAAUUACACAAUUUUGGGCAAGGCUCAUUCAAAGACGUACCUUUUUCCAACUGUACCCAAGAAAUUCAUUUGCCACUAUUGCAUUCUGUGCGUAUGACAUUGGAGAACACCAGUAAGCCCAUUUCCACCAUUUUUUGAUGUCCUCUGCAUUAUGAAACAAAGAAAUGAAAAUAUGUUAGUUUAGUUAUGAAAAAGAGGCUAAUUCGGGCUCGUUUACUUUUAUAUUUUAUGUACCUUGUGAAAGGACAAAUCCACCCAAUGCGAAAAGCACGAGUAAUGCAAAUGUACCAAAUGUGUUAGCAACAACCAUGCUCCUGCCAGUUGCAGCAAUUAAUCGGAACAAUGCAGACGCCAUCUGGUUAACUGCUAAGAGCAACAAGUACUGCUUAAAAAACCUGCAACAAGAAAAUCAUCACAUCAACUUGUUGGAUAAAGAUAUCAUGUAAUGAAAAUGCCAUUGGUUAAUAGUCAAUUUGGUUGAUUUUCUAUCUGUUCACCUUCCAGCAUUGGGAUCACACCCAAUUACAUAAUAAGUUAAGAAUACCCAAACAGCAACCUCCAGGAACGAGAUGGGGAUCUUGAGGAUCCAUGAGGGAAUAGCAUAAGCCCAUGGAGGAAAGAAACGGAAAUCUCUUUGCUUGUAGAAGACAGGAAGCUUGGCAAUGGUCAUAGAAAUCUCCGCAAGUCCAUUAAACAUGACCAUUGCAGUGGCAAAGAACAAGGCACCAGCAUAAAUUCCACCAUCAGUUACUGAAUGUUUGUGCAUCUUUGUUCUGAAGAAGAGUGUCAUAAAGGCCAAUGCGACGGAUGAAAUCUAAUAUCAGGGGGGAAGAAAUAAUCAACAAAUCUCAAUCACAUAAAGAAAUGAUUAAAUUAAUUCAAAAUUAAGUUGAUACUUACUUGGGUAAGCUUGAAGAUGUAGACAAAUGAGUUCCUCUUCAUCAGCAAAAGCUCUCUUGAGAUGCAAGUUUUCAACAACUCCCUCUUGCCAACGCCAUACACUUCUGUGGUCAAAGCAGCUCGAUGGCUCUUGCUCUUAUCAAAUGGAGUCCGAAGCUCAUCAGAAAUUUUCUGUCCCACAUGGAAUGAUUGGAAUGCCUCAGCAAAUUCCUCGACUGUCACAAACCUGUAAGGCUUCUC